GACGAACGCUGGCGGCGUGCUUAACACAUGCAAGUCGAGCGAUGAAGCACCUUCGGGUGUGAAUUAGCGGCGAACGGGUGAGGAACACGUGAAGAAUCUGCCUUCAACUCUGGGAUAACUCCGGGAAACCGGGGCUAAUACCGGAUAUGAGCCUUGAUCGCAUGAUCGGGGCUGGAAAGUUUUUCGGUUGAAGAUGACUUCGCGGCCUUUCAGCUUGUUGGUGAGGUAAUGGCUCACCAAGGCGACGACGGGUAGCCGGCCGGAGAGGGCGACCGGCCACACUAGGACUGAGACACGGCCCAGACUCCUACGGGAGGCAGCAGUGGGGAAUAUUGGGCAAUGGAGGAAACUCUGACCCAGCGACGCCGCGUGAGUGAUGAAGGCCUUCGGGUUGUAAACCUCUUUCAGUAGGGAAGAAGCGAAAGUGACGGUACCUACAGAAGAAGCACCGGCUAACUAUGUGCCAGCAGCCGCAGUAA
RNAcentral lists this ribosomal RNA (479 nucleotides) under uncultured bacterium. Its description in RNAcentral is "partial 16S ribosomal RNA". It matches the Rfam family "Bacterial small subunit ribosomal RNA", at positions 28 to 523 of the family's 1533-position model. The record is from RNAcentral.